AAUCUGUGGUGCGGUACUUUUGAAUUAACAUUUUUAAAUGUUCCCAUGCCUCUAAGAAACUUUCUAUCUUCAUCUGCCUAAAGACAAAAAUCUCUCUUCUCAGUUG
This 106-nucleotide small nucleolar RNA is filed under the name Gossypium hirsutum (cotton). RNAcentral's name for it is "Plant small nucleolar RNA R71". It matches the Rfam family "Plant small nucleolar RNA R71". Rfam says of the family: R71 is a member of the C/D box family of snoRNAs containing the C (UGAUGA) and D (CUGA) box motifs. Multiple nearly identical copies of this snoRNA have been identified in Arabidopsis, and it is thought to function as a 2'-O-ribose methylation guide for 18S ribosomal RNA. The record is from Rfam by way of RNAcentral. Lineage: Eukaryota; Viridiplantae; Streptophyta; Magnoliopsida; Malvales; Malvaceae.